UGUUCAUUUGUCAGGAAGAGAGAGCUUCUUUGCUGUCUUGUGUUGGUUGUUGCCCAGUGACAGUUCUGUUGACACUAUUUGGUAGCCGCUACUUCUAAGGUAAGACCUGGAUGGACUACCCCCUGUAUUUUGGUUGGUGCGCCAGGAGGUUCUGAAAGGUUAGGGCAAACCCGGACGACGCUGGGCCAAUUGUGCGCCUCCUUAUGUGACUCCCUAUCACUGCCGGUUGUGAUACAGCCUUGAAUCGAACCAGGGUGCCGCCUCAAGCUCUGAGAUGCAGUGCCUUAGACCCUCAAGCGCUGAGAUGCAGUGCCUUAGACCGCUGCACCACUCGGCAGCCCCUCAUGCAAGGUUUCCAGUAAUCACUUCCAGUAAGCUGAGAUUGCCAGAGGCAAGAAGUAAAACAAAAAAAGCAUGACCAACUGAGACAUUACUUAUACUGUCCUGAGACCCUGGAGAAGAUCUACUCUAGUAGCUACAGGUGCAUGAUAAGAGACAACUGGUUUACAACAACAAUCAAUGACAAGUGAUACUGACCUGAGAAAUAGUUUGUCAGCUUUAAUGUGCAUUUGUUAGGUUAACAUCUGUAAAUCUUAUUCUGUUGUACUGUAGCCUUGUAAAGACUCAUGGAGACAACGUGUCGUCUCUUUUCCACAACUUUAUUGUCUUGAUAAGGUCAAUCACAAUCAUAAGUUGUUCACUUAUAUUACACCUUGAGGUAAUGAAUCACACAGCUGGGAGAUACAGGAGAAUAUUCACACAUUAUAGAGCGUGUCGGUCUAAUCCUGAAUGUUGAUUAGUUAAAACGGCAUUCCACCCGGUGCAUAUUCCACAAGCUACCACCGGCUAAAUCUAUGACUUUAAAAUGCCUAUUUACUCUGUUCCAACUGACUGCGCAAUCCACUGUCUCAUCAGCCCAGCCAGGCAAUUUAUAAACUUGAUAGAAUGUUCACACAAUCACAUCUCUUUGUACUAAUACAACAAAUGUACCAUUUUAGUCUAGCUUUAGAUAGCUGUACUGUUAUUAUAGUGAAGCUGAGACUGAUGAUUAGAAAGAUACUGUUAUUUUGUUACAAUGGUACAAAGUCAAAUGAUGAAAAAUACACCUUAUGUGCUCCAUUACUGGAUGGCUCACAUUUUUUCUAAACCUGAAUUAAACAAGCGACAACAACA
Non-coding RNA from Oncorhynchus mykiss (rainbow trout), 1173 nucleotides. NCBI's taxonomy places the organism in Eukaryota, Metazoa, Chordata, Actinopteri, Salmoniformes, Salmonidae. The record is from RefSeq and is a predicted model, not a curated record.